This 460-nucleotide ribosomal RNA is filed under the name uncultured bacterium. RNAcentral's name for it is "partial 16S ribosomal RNA". It matches the Rfam family "Bacterial small subunit ribosomal RNA", at positions 338 to 795 of the family's 1533-position model. The record is from RNAcentral.
CCUACGGGUGGCAGCAGUGAGGAAUAUUGGUCAAUGGACGAAAGUCUGAACCAGCCAUGCCGCGUGCAGGAAGACGGCCCUAUGAGUUGUAAACUUCUUUUGUAUGGGAGUAAAAGCUUAUACGCGUAUCUGUCUGUAAGUACCGUAUGAAUAAGGAUCGGCUAACUCCGUGCCAGCAGCCGCGGUAAUACGGAGGAUUCGAGCGUUAUCCGGAUUUAUUGGGUUUAAAGGGAGCGUAGGCGGUCGGUUAAGUUAGAGGUGAAAUUCCGCGGCUCAACUUCGGAAUUGCCUCUGAAACUGGUCGGCUUGAGAGUAGUAGAGGUAGGCGGAAUGUAUGGUGUAGCGGUGAAAUGCUUAGAGAUCAUGCAGAACACCGAUUGCGAAGGCAGCUUACCAGGCUACUACUGACACUGAGGCACGAAAGCGUGGGGAGCAAACAGGAUUAGAUACCCCAGUAGUC